This is a long non-coding RNA of Lytechinus pictus (painted urchin), 363 nucleotides long. RefSeq lists it as uncharacterized. The record is from RefSeq and is a predicted model, not a curated record. NCBI's taxonomy places the organism in Eukaryota, Metazoa, Echinodermata, Echinoidea, Temnopleuroida, Toxopneustidae. The transcript is spliced from 3 exons.
UGUCUGGCAGGAUGUGACCUCUAUAUCGAGCCGAUUUCCAAAUGAUGGAAUAGGCCUAUCCAUUGGUUUCUAUAUCUGUGACUAGUGGGGCGUACUUGUUUGAGUUGAACUCAUGUGCAUUGGAUAUAUUCAUUUCAAAAGGGACUGAUAAUUCGAGGAUGAGAAGUUUCUUUGUGUUCUUCCAAAAAAUACAGACCUACCAUGUCGAAGGGAUGCAAAUCUUUGACUUUGGAGCCGGGCGGUACCCUAAAACUUGUACUCCUGUGUGCAUUGUGUCUUGCCAUCAUAUUUACAGCUGAACGACCACUCACAACUUUAACAGCUCUCUCGACAACAAGCACAAGAUUACAAUUAAGUUGGAAG